CUUUUCUUACAGUAUUUCUGACUGCUUUUAGAUGUCCUAGUGAAUACCAGAAACAUGUCAAGCAGUCAUGGAUACAGCCCUGGAGGUCUUCCUUCAGUUGACUCACCUUGAAAAGAGGAGGUUGCACCUGAACAACUCAAAUUCCUCCUCUGCUUUCAGCCUUCAAUAAAAUGAUACAUUUUGGUUUUCCUGGUCCAAGGUAUAAACCUAAGUAUAUCAUCUCCUCACCAACAGCUCUACUUAGCUACUCCUAUGGACUACAACUGAAAUUAUGUCCAUAUGCUUCCAUGGAAGAACCAACUUCUUGAUUUGUAUUUGAUGUUAAUGAAGAUUUUCUAAUUCGUUUACUUUAACUGUUAUCUUGGAUUAUAAGCAAUAAUCAAGCAGAAAAUCCUCAUUUUCCAAAGCACAAAUAUGGUAACGAACUGGUACCAAAGUUGACAAAAACAAGUAAAAGAAGAGAGAAAAAAAAAAAAAAAAACCCCACAAAAACAACUCAAAACCCACAUACCCAAAUCUUCUUUAAGACACACAUGGAAUCUCUUAAAUUACAUUUGUAUCAAAUUAACUUGGGUGGUCUGAGCGUCAUCAAGCAUGCAGAAAGGGUUCCCAUAAAAAAGCUAAUUUAAGAAAGUCGUUAGGGCAUUGACAAUAGAAGCAACCUGUUCCCUUGCUGUCAAUGUGUUUUCUUUUAGGGAAACUUGCUCUUUCUUGCCCAUGCUGAAAAUAUCUACAGCUCUCCAAGAGCUUAGCCUUAACAUCUUCAUGGGUGGCUCCAAAUGGCUGCCAUUUUUACCAUGUGCGGAGUGAUAGCUUUUCUUUAUGCUUUUUCAAAUGGCAUAAUGACUACAAAACUGUCGGGUAGACUCAUGUGUGCAUUCAAGUCGAGAAGCACUCAAACCUACCAACUUCUUUUUGCAGUCAAAUAGUAUAUCAGCAAUUCAGUUGUUCAUUAAAAAGUGCUGGAAAUCUCAUCAACCUGCGUCUCCAGAGUGUUGAUUAUGACCGUGUUGUACUGCAAAAAUCUAAAACAAGGAAAGGGAAAGCCAUCCUGACUCAUUGGCUGCUCUCAGAACGACAGUUCAUGGGGACCUUGUUUCUCUGCAGUUCUCCACCAGGAAAAUCCUGUUCAGGCUCCAAAGAAGACAUCAGUUCAGUUCAGUUCAGUCACUCAGUUGUGUCCGACUCUUU
Long non-coding RNA from Bubalus bubalis (water buffalo), 1191 nucleotides. RefSeq lists it as uncharacterized. The record is from RefSeq and is a predicted model, not a curated record. The transcript is spliced from 3 exons. NCBI's taxonomy places the organism in Eukaryota, Metazoa, Chordata, Mammalia, Artiodactyla, Bovidae.